This 56-nucleotide small RNA is filed under the name Caenorhabditis elegans. RNAcentral's name for it is "Unclassified non-coding RNA K11D5.1". The record is from RNAcentral. Lineage: Eukaryota; Metazoa; Nematoda; Chromadorea; Rhabditida; Rhabditidae.
AAGAAGAGAGAAAAGGAGAAAAGAUAUCAGAUUAGAAAUCGAGACCACCGAUUAUU